This 119-nucleotide ribosomal RNA is filed under the name Pteropus alecto (black flying fox). Lineage: Eukaryota; Metazoa; Chordata; Mammalia; Chiroptera; Pteropodidae. The record is from RNAcentral.
AUCUACAGCCAUGCCACCCUGAACAAGACCGGUCCCGUCUGAUGUCGGAAGCUAAACAGGGUCGGGCCUGGUUAGUAUUGGGAUGGGAGACUACCUAGAAAGACCAGGUGCUGUAGGCA